RNAcentral lists this ribosomal RNA (470 nucleotides) under uncultured bacterium. Its description in RNAcentral is "bacterial SSU rRNA". It matches the Rfam family "Bacterial small subunit ribosomal RNA", at positions 56 to 507 of the family's 1533-position model. The record is from RNAcentral.
UGCAGUCGACGAGAAGUUCCUUCGGGGACGAGUAAAGUGGCGCACGGGUGAGUAACGCGUAGAUAAUCUGUCCAGGUGUUCGGGAUAGCCCUUCGAAAGGGGGAUUAAUACCGAAUACGUUAAUCUUUCAUAAGGUAGAUUAAGAAAGGUGGCCUCUAUUUAUAAGCUAUCGCAUUUGGAGGAGUCUGCGUACCAUUAGUUUGUUGGUGGGGUAAUGGCCUACCAAGACUUCGAUGGUUAGCGGGUCUGAGAGGAUGAUCCGUCACACUGGCACUGAAACACGGGCCAGACUCCUACGGGAGGCAGCAGUGAGGAAUAUUGCGCAAUGGGGGAAACCCUGACGCAGCGACGCCGCGUGGGUGAGGAAGGCUUUCGGGUCGUAAAGCCCUGUCAGGUGGGAAGAAAUGGUUAAUGGAUAAUACCUGUUAGCUUUGACGGUACCACCAAAGGAAGCACCGGCUAACUCCGUG